Molecule: ribosomal RNA, 460 nt
Filed under: uncultured bacterium
Lineage: Bacteria
Description: partial 16S ribosomal RNA
Rfam family: Bacterial small subunit ribosomal RNA
Source: RNAcentral
CCUACGGGUGGCAGCAGUGAGGAAUAUUCGUCAAUGGACGGAAGUCUGAACCAGCCAUGCCGCGUGCGGGAAGACGGCUCUCUGAGUUGUAAACUGCUUUUGUACAAGGGUAAACCUGAAUACGUGUAUUCAGCUGAAAUUACUGUACGAAUAAGGAUCGGCUAACUCCGUGCCAGCAGCCGCGGUAAUACGGAGGAUCCAAGCGUUGUCCGGAUUUAUUGGGUUUAACGGGUGCGUAGGCGGAUUGUUAAGUUUGAGGUGAAAUGCCCGGGCUUAACUCGGGAAGUGCCUUUAAUACUGGUGGUCUUGAGAGCAGAUGCGGUAGGCGGAAUGUAUGGUGUAGCGGUGAAAUGCUUAGAGAUCAUACAGAACACCGAUUGCGAAGGCAGCUCACUAGUCUGUAACUGACGCUGAGGCACGAAAGCGUGGGGAGCAAACAGGAUUAGAUACCCGAGUAGUC